GACGGGACCGCACAAGCGGUGGAUGAUGUGGAUUAAUUCGAUGCAACGCGAAAAACCUUACCUACCCUUGACAUGUCCGGAAUCCUGCAGAGAUGCGGGAGUGCCCGAAAGGGAAUCGGAACACAGGUGCUGCAUGGCUGUCGUCAGCUCGUGUCGUGAGAUGUUGGGUUAAGUCCCGCAACGAGCGCAACCCUUAUCCAUUAGUUGCUACGCAAGGGCACUCUAAUGAGACUGCCGGUGACAAACCGGAGGAAGGUGGGGAUGACGUCAAGUCCUCAUGGCCCUUAUAGGUGGGGCUACACACGUCAUACAAUGGCCGGUACAGAGGGUAGCCAACCCGCGAGGGGGAGCCAAUCCCACAAAGCCGGUCGUAGUCCGGAUCGCAGUCUGCAACUCGACUGCGUGAAGUCGGAAUCGCUAGUAAUCGCGGAUCAGCAUGUCGCGGUGAAUACGUUCCCGGGUCUU
RNAcentral lists this ribosomal RNA (465 nucleotides) under uncultured Thiobacillus sp. Its description in RNAcentral is "bacterial SSU rRNA". It matches the Rfam family "Bacterial small subunit ribosomal RNA", at positions 917 to 1381 of the family's 1533-position model. The record is from RNAcentral. Lineage: Bacteria; Pseudomonadati; Pseudomonadota; Betaproteobacteria; Nitrosomonadales; Thiobacillaceae.